CACUUUGUUUAUAUAACAAAUGUGAGAUGCAGUGUAUGGAAUGUCAAAUUUCUAGUAUGAGAAAUUAACGAUUUAAGUCCUUCUUAAAUGAGGCCAUUUACCCAUAGAGGGUGCCAGGCCCGUAUAACGUUAAUGAUUACUAGAUGACAUUUCCAAAGAGUCGUGUUGCUUGAUAGUGCAGCACUAAGUGGGUGGUAAACUCCAUCUAAAACUAAAUAUAACCAUGAGACCGAUAGUAAACAAGUACCGUGAGGGAAAGUUGAAAAGAACUCUGAAUAGAGAGUUAAAUAGUACGUGAAACUGCUUAGAGGUUAAGCCCGAUGAACCUGAAUAUCCGUUAUAGAAAAUUCAUCGUUAUGAUUUUAAUAUUUAUAAUAUUGUAAUAAUGGUGUGCAUUUUUUCUAUAAAGGACAUUGUAAUCUAUUAAUAUUAAAUUUAUCAUAAGAUCAUUAAUGCGAAAGUUUAUUUAAAUUAUAUUGCUUGCAAUUUAACAUAGAAUAAAUGCUUAUGAUUUGAUAAAGUGUUGAUAGAUUUAUAAUAUAUAGUGCUUAAAUAUAUUUUUUAUAUAUUUUAUAAUGGUAUAGUAAUUAAUAAUUAUUAUAUUUAUUAUAUGCACUUAUAUGAUUAACAAUGCGAAAGAUUCAGGAUACCUUCGGGACCCGUCUUGAAACACGGACCAAGGAGUCUAACAUAUUUGCAAGUUAUUGGGAAUGAAAACCUAAUAGCAAAAUUAACAUAACUUAUAAAUAUAUGGGAUUAGUUUUUAGCCUAUUUAUAGUCUAUGAAUUCAAUCCCGGGGCGUUCUAAACAGUUAUGUAUAAUAAUAUUUAUAUUAUUUAUACCUCUAACUAGAGCGUACCUUGAGCAUAUAUGCUGUGACCCGAAAGAUGGUGAACUAUACUUGAUCAGGUUGAAGUCAGGGGAAACCCUGAUGGAAGACCGAAACAGUUCUGACGUGCAAAUCGAUUGUCAGAAUUGCAGUAUAGGGCGCGACA
This 995-nucleotide ribosomal RNA is filed under the name Masiphya townsendi. RNAcentral's name for it is "eukaryotic LSU rRNA". It matches the Rfam family "Eukaryotic large subunit ribosomal RNA", at positions 120 to 928 of the family's 3401-position model. The record is from RNAcentral. Lineage: Eukaryota; Metazoa; Arthropoda; Insecta; Diptera; Tachinidae.